UACGGGGGGGGCAAGCGUUGUUCGGAAUUACUGGGCGUAAAGGGCUCGUAGGUGGCCCCAUAAGUCAGACGUGAAAUCCCUCGGCUCAACCGAGGAACUGCGUCUGAGACUGUGGGGCUUGAAUCAGGGAGAGGGAUGCGGAAUUCCAGGUGUAGCGGUGAAAUGCGUAGAUAUCUGGAGGAACACCGGUGGCGAAGGCGGCAUCCUGGACCGGUAUUGACACUGAUGAGCGAAAGCCAGGGGAGCAAACGGG
Molecule: ribosomal RNA, 253 nt
Filed under: uncultured bacterium
Lineage: Bacteria
Description: partial 16S ribosomal RNA
Rfam family: Bacterial small subunit ribosomal RNA
Source: RNAcentral